This 348-nucleotide unclassified non-coding RNA is filed under the name soil metagenome. RNAcentral's name for it is "partial contains 5.8S ribosomal RNA, internal transcribed spacer 2, and large subunit ribosomal RNA". The stretch from base 4 to 118 matches the Rfam family "5.8S ribosomal RNA", at positions 40 to 154 of the family's 154-position model. The record is from RNAcentral.
GAUAGAACGUAGCGAACUGCGAUAAGUAAUGUGAAUUGCAGAAUUCAGUGAAUCAUCGAGUCUUUGAACGCACAUUGCGCCCCCUGGCAUUCCGGGGGGCAUGCCUGUCCGAGCGUCAUUGCUGCCCUUCAAGCCCGGCUUGUGUGUUGGGUCGUCGUCCCCCCCGGGGGACGGGCCCGAAAGGCAGCGGCGGCACCGCGUCCGGUCCUCGAGCGUAUGGGGCUUUGUCACCCGCUCGAUUAGGGCCGGCCGGGCGCCAGCCGGCGUCUCCAACCUUCUAUUUUACCAGGUUGACCUCGGAUCAGGUAGGGAUACCCGCUGAACUUAAGCAUAUCAAUAAGCGGAGGA